UGGGGAAUAUUGGACAAUGGGCGAAAGCCUGAUCCAGCCAUGCCGCGUGUGUGAAGAAGGUCUUCGGAUUGUAAAGCAUUUUAAGUUGGGAGGAAGGGCAGUAAGCGAAUACCUUGCUGUUUUGACGUUACCGACAGAAUAAGCACCGGCUAACUCUGUGCCAGCAGCCGCGGUAAUACAGAGGGUGCAAGCGUUAAUCGGAAUUACUGGGCGUAAAGCGCGCGUAGGUGGUUCGUUAAGUUGAAUGUGAAAGCCCCGGGCUCAACCUGGGGACUGCAUCCAAAGCUGGCGAGCUAGAGUAGGGCAGAGGGUGGUGGAAUUUCCUGUGUAGCGGUGAAAUGCGUAGAUAUAGGAAGGAACACCAGUGGCGAAGGCGACCCCCUGGGCUCAUACUGACACUGAGGUGCGAAAACGUGGGGAGCAAACAGG
RNAcentral lists this ribosomal RNA (429 nucleotides) under Pseudomonadota bacterium. RNAcentral describes it as "Proteobacteria bacterium partial 16S ribosomal RNA". It matches the Rfam family "Bacterial small subunit ribosomal RNA", at positions 355 to 776 of the family's 1533-position model. Lineage: Bacteria; Pseudomonadati; Pseudomonadota. The record is from RNAcentral.